AAGAUACUAGUAAUAAAAAUUACACUGCCUUGUCAAGGCAGAGUUGCUGGUUAAACCCCUGCGUGUCUUA
Molecule: transfer RNA, 70 nt
Filed under: Facciolella oxyrhyncha (Facciola's sorcerer)
Lineage: Eukaryota; Metazoa; Chordata; Actinopteri; Anguilliformes; Nettastomatidae
Description: tRNA-Asp
Rfam family: tRNA
About the family: Transfer RNA (tRNA) molecules are approximately 80 nucleotides in length. Their secondary structure includes four short double-helical elements and three loops (D, anti-codon, and T loops). Further hydrogen bonds mediate the characteristic L-shaped molecular structure. tRNAs have two regions of fundamental functional importance: the anti-codon, which is responsible for specific mRNA codon recognition, and the 3' end, to which the tRNAs corresponding amino acid is attached (by aminoacyl-tRNA synthetases). tRNAs cope with the degeneracy of the genetic code in two manners: having more than one tRNA (with a specific anti-codon) for a particular amino acid; and 'wobble' base-pairing, i.e. permitting non-standard base-pairing at the 3rd anti-codon position.
Source: RNAcentral